RNAcentral lists this long non-coding RNA (8316 nucleotides) under Nicotiana tabacum (common tobacco). Its description in RNAcentral is "long non-coding RNA (NTAB_LNC003218)". Lineage: Eukaryota; Viridiplantae; Streptophyta; Magnoliopsida; Solanales; Solanaceae. The record is from RNAcentral.
CAAAAAAAACAUUAGUUCCAUAUUUCUCUAUUUAAUUCACGCAUUAUGUAUUUUAGAAGGAUAUAUUACUUUAAAAAUAUUUUAUUUUAAUAUAAUCUUUGAAAAAACCAAAAAUAGUUUCAUAUUUUAUAUAUAAUUUAGUUUAAUUAAUUAGAUUAAUUUUUGCAUUAUGUAAUACAUUUAUCUUAUAUUAAAAGGAACUUAAAUAAGAUUUGGACAUUCAUUUUAGCCCAAUGUUAAAGCCCAAAUUUGAAGCCUAACCUCCCUUACCUUUCACUAACCCAAAGCCCAUAGCGCCAUAAGAUUUUAUAGGAGAGAAAACCCUAGCUGAACCCUAAUUGGACACCCAUGGCUGCCUUCUUCUUCUUCUUGACACCCAAAACCCAAAAAAUCAGCGGCAUCCAACACCCCUCCCAGCCGUGACCCUUACCCAAAAACCUUUCUUCUUUGCGCCACCCAACAAUACCAGCGACCAUACCUUCUUCCUCACCCCCAUCAGCGGCCAUCUCUCUCGCACACAAAACCAGAGGCAGACCACCCCCAAGAAGCAACAACCGCUCUAACAGACAAGAGCAGUGAGAUGAAACGGACAAUAAGAAAAGUCAAGCAGCAGUCUCUUCUCUAUUCACUGCCUUAGCGUUCUUCCUUAUCUCAUUAAUCACCAUUUCAAGUUAAUUCCUCCAAUGCCUUUCUUCUGAUUGGCAAAACCUGCGUGAUUCCUAGACCCGCUAGCGCACAACUUCUCGGGUCUCUAGUUAAUGGGUUGCAUAAAUGUAAGUGGAGGAAUAUAUUAUAGUGCUGGGUUUGUGAAGGUCCAAAUGCUUGAAUUCACGUCAAAUUGAGCAGAAUCGUUUAUGAGAAAUUUUAUUUGGGAAAGAAUUGAGUUAGUUUUCAAUUCGGAGAUCCGUUGAGGGUCGAAGUUUUAUUUUAGCUACUGAUUUGUGGUGCUGUUCGAGGUUAAUUCCGUGGUUCACGGUCCAAGCUCUUGCUACUAUUUCGUUUCCUGGUCAAAUUUGGUUCGCCGAAGUUUGCUAUAACCGAGUUCUUGUUAAUAUAGUUGAGGUCUAAUUCUAAACUCUUCCUCAUUUAUUAUUUCUCAUGUGGAUGUUUUGUGUCUGUUUACUACCGUAUUCUAGUCAUUGUCAUGUGGGUAAUUUGCCUUCUGUGCUUCAUAUUGGUUUGGGUAAUCUUUAUUUUUUUAAGUAUAAGAAAAUGUCCUGCAUAUAUAAAUAUGUGUUGAAGAACAAAACUACUUAACGUGCUAAUGAGUUCAGUUAGAACAUUUUAUCAAUGUGUAUUUGAUUGUUUCACUUAAGCAAGUCGUGAGGCCAGUGUUUGGCAAAAAGAGAUUCUUGUUAAUUGAAAUUAAGUGAAAUAUGAAUUUUGAUCUCAGUUUAUGCAAUAAAAUGGAUUUAACACUAAAUUUAGUAAUGUUUUAUUUUUCAAAUGAUAGAAGCAUGUGUUAGGUCAUUAUUACUUGGGUAGGCAAGUCUUAGGAUUUUUGUUUGGAUUUCGAGGUGAGAGGUCGUUCCCUUUAGUUAAAUUUAUCCGGGGAAUGCCCCGAAGGAUUUGUACAUAUUUUAUUCUGGGGAAGGCCCCGUAGGAUUCUGUAAUUGGAGGCCGUGGCGAACAUCGUAGAAGAAGUAGCAUAGGAUAAUUUAGAACUUUAAUUUUCCUUUUUUUUAAUUUUCUUUCAUUUAGGUGGGGACGACCUCGAGCCUCGUUUGUGUUUAUUUUCCUUUUAUGUGAUUUUACCCCAAUUUGAAUGUUUUUAAAGCCAACUAGAUCGAGUACACAACUGUGACUUUCACGGGACUUGGGGAGUGCCUAACACCUUCUCCCCGAGUCAAAUGAACCUCCUUACCUGAAUCUCUAGUGCAAAUCCAAAGUGUUUUUAAAGGAAAAUCAUUUUUGAAAACGGUGACCUGGCACACCGAAACCAACGUCAGGUGGCGACUCUAAGUUAUUUCCUUUUGAACACAAUUUUGUCACUUUUUAAUUAAAGACCCUUUUGAGCUUUACAAAAUCUUUUUAUUAAUAUAAGAGGGUUUAGUGAAGUUGGUAAAAAAGGGGGUGUGACAGCUCUGGCGACUCUGCUGGAGAGUUGUAGGUUCGAGUUGAUACUUGAUCUUGUUGGCUUUUGGGAUAUUCGGUUGAGGUGUUUUUUUUAUUUGCUUUGUUUAGUUGGUUUGUUUGUCUUAUUUCCCGUUUUGUUGGUUAUUUGUUUAUCGUUUUUUCUUAUGUGUUUACCGCUUUAUAAUUGUCAUCAUUUGCAUAACUAUGAGUCUUCUUUCUGCAACAAGUCUUCCGGAGUACGUUUGAGCGUACACGACCUUUUGUGAGUCACCCGAGUUUUUAGGGGGUGGCAUGGGAGCGUGGAGUGGGCGGACAGCUAGAUCAGCUGUUAUCGACCACGUGCUGCCCCGAAUUGCCUUGUUAGCGAACCCCAAACUUAGGUCAACCUUUAGGUCAUUUUUAUUUGCAUCAUGUCAUUUACACCUAGUAGGGCUCGGUCCCAGGCACCGCGUCCCUUUGUAGGAAGCCUAUCCAAAUUUUUUCAAAAAUGGGCUCGUGUCCCAAAAAGACAUUCAAUCAUCCCUAUGCGAUACAUGUUGCAUUUUUAAGGGUAAAAAGGUCAUUUGGCGGACCGAUGCUUGGGAAAGAAGGGUGAAAAAUAAAGCAAGUAGGGCCCAGUUGUAUUUUUCUUUCACAGCUUUUUAAAAAAAAGACCAAAAAAAAUGAAAAUGGAAAAAAUCCAAAAAAAAAGAUUUUACAAUUUCCCAUCAUUUUCAAAAAAUCAAAGAAAGAAAGAAAAAGAAAAUCCGAAAAGAUUUUACACUUUCCCAUCAUUUUCCAAAAAUUCAAAAAAAAAAAAAAGAAGAGAAAAGAAAAUCCAAAAAGAUUUUAAAUUUUUCAUCAUUUUUCAAAAAGACAAAAAUAUAUUUUUUCCAAAUUAGUGUCAUUUUUUAAGCUUUCUCCCAUGUCCAAUCUUCCCGAACUACGCAUACUUGAUUCUCGUCUUUCGGGGCGGGAUACGCAGGCAGCCCAGAUAGGGUUCACACCUAUCUCGACUACUACCACUCAGGUCUCAUUGUUUGAUCAUUCCUAUCCACCUGGGUUCAGCCUUUAUCCUAACUAUACGGCUACAGUUGGAACUUCUAUUGCAUGCUUCCAAAGUGUGCCAUUGACAACCAAUCAGAUAACCACUACUGUUAUGCCUGUUUUCAGCGUCCCACAACCGACGAUGGUGUAGAGGAAAACUCACGAGUCACAAUUUGCUACCGAGCAAGAACAGUCCCACUCUCCUGAGUACCACUCAUAACUAUUUGAUCUUCCUGCAAAGAUUGAGAAGCCUACCUGAAAGAUAGCACCGAAAGAAAUAACCCAAUGACUGAAAAGCUUAGAACAAUAGUUGAAAAACAUAUAAGGGCUGGCAGGUCAGAAAAGCAUUUCCUUCAAGGAUCUAUGUAUGUUCCCUGAUGUUCGUUUGCCACUUGGUUUCAAGAUUCCCAAAUUUGAAAAAUAUGAUGGACAUGGAGACCCCAUAACCCACCUGAAACGGUAUUGUAAUCAACUAAGAGGUGCGGUAGGAAAUGAAGAAUUACUGAUGGUUUAUUUUGGGGAAAGCCUUACGGGUAUAGCCUCUGAAUGGUUUAUGGGUCAAGAGACAUCUUGCUAGUAUAUCUGGGAUGACAUGGCCCAGGCCUUUGUCAAACAUUUCCAAUAUAACAUUGAUAUUGCCCUGGACUGUAAUUCCCUUUCAAAUCUGAAGAAGAAACCAACUAAACAUUUAAGGGAAUAUGCCAUUAAAUGGAGAGAACAAGCAGCUAAAGUUAAGCCAUCCAUGGAUGACCACGAGCUAAUCACUGUCUUCCUUCAAGCUCAAGAGCUCGAUUACUUUCAAAACAUGAUGUCCGCAGUUGGAAAAUCAUUCUCGGAAGCAAUCAAAAUGGGAGAAAUGGCAGAGAAUGGCCUUAAGACAGGCAAAAUUAUUAGUCAAGCAGCUCUCAGAGCUGCAACUCAGGCUAUCCAAAUUGAAUCUGAUAAUUUUAGUGGCACGAGUGAGAAGGUUGAAGAAAACAUGAUGACAUCAAGGUCGAGAAGAGGUCCUAGAAGAAUAUCUCAAAGGCAUGACCAGCCUCGUUUGUUUUUUGAUGAUUCCCUUGAGAACCCACAAUACUCUGUUACUCCACCCUAGUAUGUUAUCCAGCCACCAAGAUACCCCAGAAGGCGAGCGCCAGCACCGCAAAAUCUCCAUCAGCCUUAUAACCCACAUCCAAGCCAGGAGUAUAGAGGUAAACAAAGGUUGAAAGAUAAUUUUACUCCGAUAGGAGAGUCCUAUGCAAGUUUGUUUGAGAAAUUAAAGUAUUAUGACUUGAUUGCACCUAUUCCUCCGAAUCAUGUGGACCCGCGUGCUAGAAACUUUGACCCUUCUAAAAGGUGUGAAUACCAUUCCAAUGCCCAGGGGCACAAUGUCAAAAGUUGUCAGGAUUUGAAAAGAGAAAUAGAAAGAAUUAUUCAAGAAGGGAUAAUUGUGAUCUAGGGCAGUGACACCUAGAACAUCGCGCAGAAUCCUUUACCUGUACAUGAUGAUGCACACUUUGUGGGGAGUAUGCAUGGUGACAAGGAGUAUAAGAAUCCUCUUGGAAACUUGCUGACUGAAGUUAAUGAUAUUGAGAUUGGUGAAGGUCCCAGUAAUUUUGAUGUGCAACCCAGCGGCUAAGAUGUAGAGCUUGGUGAGUGGAAAGACACUCCUUUCCUGGCUAGCUAGGGAGGAGUUUUGGGGGUUUAUUUUGUUGUUAUUUCCGUUUGUCCGGGUUAUUUUAGGGUUGUAAUCCGGACAUUAUCUUGUUGGCUCAAACCCUUCUGCUUCUUAUUUUCCUAGUUCGUUUAGUGGUAGUAACUUGUCUAGUGUUAUCUAGGAUUGUUCCAGGGUUGUAACCCAUGUCUAUUUUGCUUGUUUUGUUCAAAUCCUUUUCACCAUAUGUCUAAUGCAAUCUCCUAUUUUCUGUUAGUUCUAGUCAGUUUUUGUUUAGGUCACUUUUCCUUUUAUAGUUAUUUUCAUGCUGACUCUAGUGACAUGACAUGCACAAAUAAUUCUCAGUUUGGUCUUGAAAGUUAGUUAAUCAUGAAGCAAUGGCACAGUUUUAAAUAUGAUAAAAAGAUGCAUUUGAGGAAACAAGUAAAGAUUCACGCAUUCUAAGAUAACUUGAAGCUUGAAUUGAGUGAAAUUGAGGCAAUUAGUUUGGGAAAUCAAGAGGUUGAUAAGAGCAUACAACAAGAAAAUGUCUCUCAAGUAGUUUGAGGUAGAUCAGUCAGUGCUGAAAUGUAUUCUUCCACAUCAAGAUAAGGUUGAGUCAAGUCUGCUUCGAAUUGGAAAGAGUCAUUCAUUGGGACAAAGGUAUUGCCCAUUGACACUUUUUGUUUGUGUUGAUGCCAUCAAUAGAUACUAUGUAUGAUUUCUUUGCUCAUCUUUGAUUGCAUGUUUGUACUUGGCAUUCUUAAAGUUUGGUAUGACGAAGACAUUUUAUUCUGCUACCCAAAUACUUUUAUCUUUUGCUACCCCUUUUGAGCCUUAAUUCGUUUUGUUUCAUACCCCUCUUUUGGAAUCAGAAGUAGAGUUAGGAACUAGAAAAUAAAAAGCAAAAGAGAAAAAGAAGAAAAAGACAGGAAAAGAAAAAAAAAGAAAAGAAAAUAAAGGAAAAAAGAAAAUAAAGAAAAGGAAAAGAAAAACAACAAAAUAAUCCAACAUCGUGUUUGAACUACGUUCAACCUGAUUCUUGUCACCACAAGAUACGUAGGCAGCCUUAAGGUUCGGUCGCACCAAAUAAAAUAUUUCAUAAUCUCAUGAAGUCAAGAGUGGGGUAGUAUUUCUUAGAAAUUCCCCUCAAAGCAAAAAUCCAAAAAAAAGAAUUCCCAAACUCCAAGAAACUGGGGCAAAAGUUUUAAUUUUGCCAAAAGGACUGAUUCCAAAAGUUGUAAUUUUGAACCCUUCCAUCUUAAAUUAUUUUGAGCCUUCAUGUCACCCAUUCUUUCCAACCCUGUCCAAAAGCCUACAUUACGAUCCAAGAAAGACCUUCCUACUAAUCUUUGAGGAUGUCAAAUCAAGUGUGUGGUGAAAGUAUGAUCUUCUUGCAUCAUGGUUAAUACUUUUGUUCACAGCACCAAGAGAGAAUGAUAAAAUGAGAGAGUCUUAUCAAUGAAAACCCUCAUGGGCACUGUAAGACGACGGUGGGUUGAGAAAAGAGCAAAAUGAGAGAGGCUUGAUGGUGAAAACCCUUUAGGGCACUACAAGUCAACUGAGGAUUGUGGAUCAAAUAUGACAAUUGGAGCGCUGAAGCCCAGUUUCACAACUUAGAGGCAUAACACGAGUUAAAUAUUAGACUCGCUUGACAGAUCAGGCCGCUUAAUCCAAAAUGCAUGUCAUGGUCAGUGGAGAUAACCUUCAAAUCGUAUUAAUUUCUACUUUGUUCUUUUUCCUCGGUAAAAAUAUUUUCUUGUUAGAUACCAUCUCUUCUCGUUUUUUCCAUUAUUUUGUUCCUCUUGUUUUGUUUGAGUCCCUUUGAGUCUGUUUUUGCCGAAACAAGUGAGAAAUGAUUUCAAAAUCUGCUACUAGCUUUUUAAUCACACAAGUCUCUAGCAAGCAUAUCAAAUUGGCAUAAGACACAGGAGAAUAUUGUGUGCACUGAGUUGGUGAUAGUAAAUGUUCUCUGGGAUUGAUGUGAAAUGCAAAGAUUGGGUGAAUGUUAUAACACGAGUGCAAUGCAUCGGGCAUAAGGUAUUGGAUUUGAAUGAAUCAGGAAUAUAUCUUGUGAUAAGGGUUGUCCGAAAAAGCAGUCAGUCGAUAACAAGCACUGUCUUCCAAGUUGAAGUCCAAGUUGAUCGUGACAAGUGCAAGAGAAAUCGCCCUUGUAGUCAAGGUCACAAACUAGCCACCACAUUUUUAAACUCACAAGUUUUCUUUGUUUGAAACAGGAACAAAACAGUGCAAGCAAGUUGGUUCAAAAACACAAAAAAAACAAAAAGAAAAAAGAAAAAAGAAUAGAAGAGCGGACAAAGGGAAGUUUCUCAAAUCUUUGCCUUUAUCUGUCUUGCUAGUGCGCAUAAAAUGUUGCCAUUGUUCUUCGCAUUUUUCCCUCCUAGGAUAAAAGUCCUAGUCUGAUGAAUUUUCCUCCCAAUCAAACCUUAGUCUAAUGAAUCUUUUUCCUAAGAUAAGAAACCUAGUCUAAUAAAUUUUCUCCUAGGAUAGAAAAUCUUAGUCUCAUGAAUCUUUCUCCUAAAAUAACAAAAAAUGGACUUAGUCUGAUGAACUUUCUCCUAGGAUAUAAAUUUUAGUUUGAUGAAUUUUUCUCCUAAGAUACCAGAAAAAAGAAGAUAAGAGACCUAGUUUGAUGAAUUUUCUCCUAUGGUCGAAAUCUUAGUCUGAUGAAUUUUUCUCCUAGAUAGAAGACCUAGUCUGAUGAACUUUCUCCUAGGAUAUAAAUCUUAGUCUGAUGAAUAUUUCUCCUAAGAUACCAAAAAAAUACCUAGUCUGAUGAAUUUUCUCCUAGGAUAGAAAUCUUUGUCUGAUGAUUUUUUUCCUAAGAUAGAAAGCCUAGUAUGAUGAAUUUUCUCCUAGGAUAGAUCUUUAGUUAUCUUAAGUUAUUAAUCUUUAGUUUUCUUGAAAUCAGGGGUCCCACCUGGAGAAUAGAGUCAGUUUUUACUUUAGUCUAGCUUAGUUUAUAGUUUUCCACAAGCUCAAUCUUAAAUCUAGGAGACGCACUUCCUAGUCUAGGUCAUUCAAGUUUAAUUCUUAGCAGACGCACUUGCUAGUCAAAUAUUCUUGGUUUGAUUCACAGGAGAUGCACAUCCCAGUCAAGUCUUUAGUUUUACUCUCAUAAUUGCAUCAAUAGCAUAGGUGAUUUACAGUUUUGCUAACAACUCACAAAUCUUCCUAGUUCAAACUGGAGCAGAAAAUUUUGUUUGUUUUGUUGUUUUGAUUGCAGGCACCCACCUGGAGAAUGAGGGAAUUAGUUUCGAAAUUAUUUUAAGUUUUGGCAAUCAGGCGCCACCUAGAGAAUAAGGGAACAUAGUUCGAUUUUUGGCAAUCAGGCGCUCACCUGGUUAACAAGGGAAUAUAGUUCAAGUUUUGGAAAUCAGGCGCCCACCAGGAGAAUAAGGGAAUACAAUUCAAGAUUUGGCAAUCAGGCGCCCACCUAGAGAAUAAGAGAAUACAGUUCAAGUCUUGGCAAUCAGGCACCCACCUGGAGAACAAGGGAAUACAGCUCAAGUUUUUGGCAAUCAGGCACUUAUCUGGAGAACAAGGGAAUACAANNN